RNAcentral lists this ribosomal RNA (253 nucleotides) under uncultured bacterium. RNAcentral's name for it is "partial 16S ribosomal RNA". It matches the Rfam family "Bacterial small subunit ribosomal RNA", at positions 524 to 776 of the family's 1533-position model. The record is from RNAcentral.
UACGAAGGGGGCGAGCGUUGUUCGGAUUUACUGGGCGUAAAGGGCGCGCAGGCGGUCUUGAAAGUCAGGCGUGAAAGCCCCGGGCUUAACCUGGGAAUUGCGCUUGAUACUCUGAGACUGGAGUACGGGAGAGGAGAGUGGAAUUCCCAGUGUAGAGGUGAAAUUCGUAGAUAUCGGGAGGAACACCGGUGGCGAAGGCGGCGAUCUGGGUCGAUACUGACGCUGAGGUGCGAAAGCGUGGGGAGCGAACAGG